This 410-nucleotide ribosomal RNA is filed under the name Acidobacteriota bacterium. RNAcentral's name for it is "Acidobacteria bacterium partial 16S ribosomal RNA". It matches the Rfam family "Bacterial small subunit ribosomal RNA", at positions 355 to 776 of the family's 1533-position model. The record is from RNAcentral. Lineage: Bacteria; Pseudomonadati; Acidobacteriota.
UCGAGAAUCAUUCACAAUGGGGGAAACCCUGAUGGUGCGACGCCGCGUGGGGGAAUGAAGGUCUUCGGAUUGUAAACCCCUGUCAUGUGGGAGCAAAUUAAAAAGAUAGUACCACAAGAGGAAGAGACGGCUAACUCUGUGCCAGCAGCCGCGGUAAUACAGAGGUCUCAAGCGUUGUUCGGAAUCACUGGGCGUAAAGCGUGCGUAGGCGGUUUCGUAAGUCGUGUGUGAAAGGCGGGGGCUCAACCCCCGGACUGCACAUGAUACUGCGAGACUAGAGUAAUGGAGGGGGAACCGGAAUUCUCGGUGUAGCAGUGAAAUGCGUAGAUAUCGAGAGGAACACUCGUGGCGAAGGCGGGUUCCUGGACAGUAACUGACGCUGAGGCACGAAGGCCAGGGGAGCGAAAGGG